UGAGUACGAGAUGCUACGGCAUCGAAGCAGUCUAUGUCAUACUUCCAAGAAAAGCUUGCACUGUCAGAAACAGAUAAUGCCUGUACCAUAACCGACACAGGUGGGUAGGUAGAGUAUACUAAGGGGCGCGAGAUAACUCUCUCUAAGGAACUCGGCAAAAUGACUCCGUAACUUCGGGAGAAGGAGUGCCUUAUUUUUAAGGUUGCAAUAACAAGAUCCAAGCAACUGUUUACCAAAAACACAGGUCUCCGCUAAGUCGUAAGACGAUGUAUGGGGGCUGACGCCUGCCCAGUGCCAGAAGGUUAAAGAAGUCGGUUAGCAUUCGCGAAGCUGGUAACUGAAGCCCUGGUGAACGGCGGCCGUAACAAUAACGGUCCUAAGGUAGCGAAAUUCCUUGUCGGGUAAGUUCCGACCCGCACGAAAGGCGUAAUGAUUUGGAUACUGUCUCGGAGAGGGGCUCGGUGAAAUAGACUUGUCUGUGAAGAUGCGGACUACCUGCACCUGGACAGAAAGACCCUAUGAAGCUUUACUGUAACUUGAAAUUGAAAUUGGACUUUAUUUGCGCAGUAUAGGUGGGAGGCGUUGAAAAUAUUCUUGCGGGAAUAUUGGAGCCAUCAGUGAGAUACCACUCUUGUAAUGUUAGAUUUCUAACUUUAUAUCAUUAUCUGGUUAAAGAACAGUUUCAGGCGGGCAGUUUGACUGGGGCGGUCGCCUCCCAAAUGGUAACGGAGGCGCACAAAGGUUUCCUCUGAACGGGUAGAAAUCGUAUCUAGAGUGUAAAGGCAUAAGGAAGCUUGACUGUGAGACCUACAAGUCGAGCAGGGACGAAAGUCGGUCUUAGUGAUCUGACGGUGCUGAGUGGAAAGGCCGUCACUCAACGGAUAAAAGUUACUCUAAGGAUAACAGGCUGAUCUCCCCCAAGAGUUCACAUCGACGGGGAGGUUUGGCACCUCGAUGUCGGCUCAUCGCAUCCUGGGGCGGUAGUACGUCCCAAGGGUUGGGCUGUUCGCCCAUGAAAGCGGUACGCGAGCUGGGUUCAGAACGUCGUGAGACAGUUCGGUCCAUAUCCGGUGUAGGCGUUAGAAUAUUGAGAGGAGCCUUCUUUAGUACGAGAGGACCGAGAAGGACAUACCUCUGGUGUACCAGUUAUCGUGCCAACGGUAAACGCUGGGUAGCUAUGUAUGGAGUGGAUAACCGCUGAAAGCAUCUAAGUGGGAAGCCCACCUCAAGAUAAGUAUUCUCAC
This 1244-nucleotide ribosomal RNA is filed under the name metagenome. RNAcentral's name for it is "bacterial LSU rRNA". It matches the Rfam family "Bacterial large subunit ribosomal RNA", at positions 1564 to 2817 of the family's 2925-position model. The record is from RNAcentral.